This 73-nucleotide transfer RNA is filed under the name Candidatus Dojkabacteria bacterium. RNAcentral describes it as "tRNA-Thr". It matches the Rfam family "tRNA". Rfam says of the family: Transfer RNA (tRNA) molecules are approximately 80 nucleotides in length. Their secondary structure includes four short double-helical elements and three loops (D, anti-codon, and T loops). The record is from RNAcentral.
GCUGUCCUAGCUCAAUCGGUAGAGCAUCGGUAUCGUAAACCGGAGGUUGUGGGUUCGAUUCCCACGGACAGCU